GGAUGCGAUCAUACCAGCACUAAAGCACCGGAUCCCAUCAGAACUCCGAAGUUAAGCGUGCUUGGCCGAGAGUAGUACUAGGAUGGGUGACCUCCUGGGAAGUCCUCGUGUUGCAUUCCC
Molecule: ribosomal RNA, 120 nt
Filed under: Thinopyrum intermedium
Lineage: Eukaryota; Viridiplantae; Streptophyta; Magnoliopsida; Poales; Poaceae
Source: RNAcentral